UACGGGGGGGGCAAGCGUUGUUCGGAAUUACUGGGCGUAAAGGGCUCGUAGGCGGCCAACUAAGUCAGACGUGAAAUCCCUCGGCUUAACCGGGGAACUGCGUCUGAUACUGGAUGGCUUGAGGUUGGGAGAGGGAUGCGGAAUUCCAGGUGUAGCGGUGAAAUGCGCAGAUAUCAGGAGGAACACCGGUGGCGAAGGCGGGUCUCUGGGCCGAUACUGACGCUGAGGAGCGAAAGCAUGGGGAGCGAACAGG
This 253-nucleotide ribosomal RNA is filed under the name uncultured bacterium. Its description in RNAcentral is "partial 16S ribosomal RNA". It matches the Rfam family "Bacterial small subunit ribosomal RNA", at positions 524 to 776 of the family's 1533-position model. The record is from RNAcentral.